UGAGUAACCUGCCCUUAACUCCGGAAUAACAGCUGGAAACAGCUGCUAAUACCGGAUAUGACCUCCGAUGGCAUCAUCUGGAGGUGGAAAGCUCCGGCGGUCAAGGAUGGGCUCACGGCCUAUCAGCUUUGUUGGUGAGGUAACGGCUCACCAAGGCUUCGACGGGUAGCCGGCCUGAGGAGGGCGACCGGCCACACGUGGGACUGAGACACGGCCCAGACUCCGUACGGGAGCAG
This 236-nucleotide ribosomal RNA is filed under the name uncultured bacterium. RNAcentral's name for it is "partial 16S ribosomal RNA". It matches the Rfam family "Bacterial small subunit ribosomal RNA", at positions 118 to 347 of the family's 1533-position model. The record is from RNAcentral.